ACGAACGCUGGCGGCGUGCUUCACACAUGCAAGUCGAACGGAAAGGCCCUGCUUUUGUGGGGUGCUCGAGUGGCGAACGGGUGAGUAACACGUGAGUAACCUGCCCUUGACUUUGGGAUAACUUCAGGAAACUGGGGCUAAUACCGGAUAGGAGCUCCUGCUGCAUGGUGGGGGUUGGAAAGUUUCGGCGGUUGGGGAUGGACUCGCGGCUUAUCAGCUUGUUGGUGGGGUAGUGGCUUACCAAGGCUUUGACGGGUAGCCGGCCUGAGAGGGUGACCGGCCACAUUGGGACUGAGACACGGCCCAGACUCCUACGGGAGGCAGCAGUGGGGAAUAUUGCACAAUGGGCGGAAGCCUGAUGCAGCAACGCCGCGUGCGGGAUGACGGCCUUCGGGUUGUAAACCGCUUUCGCCUGUGACGAAGCGUGAGUGACGGUAAUGGGUAAAGAAGCACCGGCUAACUACGUG
This 467-nucleotide ribosomal RNA is filed under the name uncultured bacterium. RNAcentral describes it as "partial 16S ribosomal RNA". It matches the Rfam family "Bacterial small subunit ribosomal RNA", at positions 29 to 507 of the family's 1533-position model. The record is from RNAcentral.